CCUACGGGUGGCAGCAGUGGGGAAUAUUGCACAAUGGGGGAAACCCUGACGCAGCGACGCCGCGUGAGUGAAGAAGUAAUUCGUUAUGUAAAGCUCUAUCAGCAGGGAAGAAAAUGACGGUACCUGAGUAAGAAGCCACGGCUAACCACGUGCCAGCAGCCGCGGUAAUACGUAGGGGGCAAGCGUUAUCCGGAUUUACUGGUUGUAAAGGGGGCGUAGGCGGGAGUGCAAGUCUGGAGUGAAAGGCGGGGGUUCAACCCCCGGACUGCACUGGAAACUGUAUGGCUGGAGUGCAGGAGAGGUAAGUGGAAUGCCUAGUGUAGCGGUGAAAUGCGUAGAUAUUAGGAGGAACACCAGUGGCGAAGGCGGCUUACUGGACUGUAACUGACGUUGAGGCUCGAAAGCGUGGGGAGCAAACAGGAUUAGAUACCCCAGUAGUC
This 440-nucleotide ribosomal RNA is filed under the name uncultured bacterium. Its description in RNAcentral is "partial 16S ribosomal RNA". It matches the Rfam family "Bacterial small subunit ribosomal RNA", at positions 338 to 795 of the family's 1533-position model. The record is from RNAcentral.